UUUUGUUGUGAGGUAAGAUUAGGCAAAAGGUAAAGUAGGUCUAAAAUUUUAGAAGGGUAUAAAGAAAAACUUAUUAAUGGUAAUUAAAAGGAAGUAAUAAGAAUUAGAAUAACAUUUUUAGACUAUUUUCUUUUUAUAACUUUUUAAUUGAUAAUUUAAGGAGAUAAAACUUAACAUUUUGGUUAGUUUACUACUUAUAAAAUUGGGGGUUUUUAGUUUUCUUAGGGAGAGAAGGUUUUGUUUGUUAAUGUUAUGGAGAAUUUUUUAUAAGAAAAUAGCUUUUUGUGAUUUUUAAUUUUUCUGUGAAUAGUAGUUGUUUGGGGAAAUUUGUAAUUGUCAAAAAUUUGUGUAAUUUUUAAUUGUGUUUAUUAAUUAAUUUAUGGGGUAUUGUUAUAAAGAUGAGUUGUUGUUUCUAUGAAACAGAAAAAGUCCAACAUUGGAAAUGGGAGCAGAUAGAAAAACCAGCUGAGUUUCUUCAGCUGUUUUAAGUAUGAAAAUAAGCAUUUGAAAUUCUGUGAUAUUGCAUUUUUUCUUUUGCUUCCUCUCAGGUGGCCGAGUGCAUCACCUGUUUCCACCUGCAGCUAACCCACGAGACCUGCAAGAAUUCACUGUCCUGGUGCAAUAAAGGCACUUCUGGUCCUGCUGUGUCUCAGGAGGCUGCAGAGGAGGCAGAGGGCUCUGGGCUGCGUCCAGGGGGUGGCUGUGGACAUCACUGGGUGUGCACUUCACAAAGAUGUGGGAUAGGAGAAGUGCUUACAUUUGAAUUUCUACUUAAAGGGGAGGAAGAGAGAGAUGAUGGAAACUGAAGACUGCAGCACAUCUUAUCCUUCCUUCUGCUUUGCUUUUACCCAUUUUCUCCUGUGGUCCAAGAGAGUUCGAGGUGGGAGUGAGGGACACAGCCUGUGACACAGGUUCAGCAGGGCACAGGUGGAGAGCUGGGAGAAUGAAACGUGUGGGAGCAAAUCCUCUGGGAAUGGUGCUCAGGAGACAGAAAACAGGCUCCAAACACUUCUGACUGCUGGAGGGGCCAAGCAAGCUAAGGAAAAGAGGUAAAUCUUUCCUCAGACCCUUUCUAAUGCUCCCAUGAAAGGAGGCACAAAGAGAGAAGUACGUGCCACAGCCUCCCUAUUGAAUUUCAGUUAGCCUGUGCAGGUGCAGUGCACAGAGAGUGCCCCUGAGAAAACUGUUCCUGAGCAAAGUGGAUGCACUUUGAAAGCCUGAGACCCAGUCAGUCCCUCCCUGCAGUUUGUGCCACACAAACCCUUCUUCUGGCCAUCGUGACUGUGGGCCUCCACCCUGCCAGCAAAGCCAUGGGACUGGCACAGCAAUGAGCCCUGACACUCAGAAACCAAACCCUCCUUCCAGCAGCCCUUGUUGUGCCCUCCCCAGGUGUGCCAGGAUGUGAUGGGAGGGACAGCAAGAGCUGGACUUUGGGCUGGCUUUGUCUGUCCAAAUUAACUGAAAUAAUGCUUAGCCCUCAGCCCAUGUUGGUGAGCUGUAGGUAUGGUCUGCCUGCAAAGCAGGCACCUCUUUCCAGUCACGCAGCACGGGUACACUAGCCACUUACAAAUACCUGUACCACUAAAGACUGUGAGAAUUGUGUUUUUGAGCUGUCUUCAUUCCAAAGAGGUUGGCUUAUAAGAAGAAGCACAUGUGGGUUAAGAAAAAAAGCAAAGGUAUGAUUAUAGCAAACAUCAUUCACCCCACACAUUACUUUUAGAGCCAAAGCUCUUUGCAAUCCUCUCUUAUUCAAAUCUCACCUCCAGACAUGUCUCAUACAUUUUUUCUCCUAGUUGUCUAUCUGACACUGUUUAACAUCUUUUCUUGGCUCAGCUUGGAGCACCAUGAUGAAAGUUGCCUG
Molecule: non-coding RNA, 1861 nt
Organism: Taeniopygia guttata (zebra finch)
Lineage: Eukaryota; Metazoa; Chordata; Aves; Passeriformes; Estrildidae
Source: RefSeq, a predicted model, not a curated record